CAAGUCGAGGGGCAGCAUUCCAGUUUGCUUGCAAACUGGAGAUGGCGACCGGCGCACGGGUGAGUAACACGUAUCCAACCUGCCGAUAACUCGGGGAUAGCCUUUCGAAAGAAAGAUUAAUAUCCGAUAGCAUAUAUUUCCCGCAUGGGUUUUAUAUUAAAGAAUUUCGGUCAUCGAUGGGGAUGCGUUCCAUUAGGUUGUUGGCGGGGUAACGGCCCACCAAGCCUUCGAUGGAUAGGGGUUCUGAGAGGAAGGUCCCCCACAUUGGAACUGAGACACGGUCCAAACUCC
Molecule: ribosomal RNA, 291 nt
Filed under: uncultured Bacteroides sp.
Lineage: Bacteria; Pseudomonadati; Bacteroidota; Bacteroidia; Bacteroidales; Bacteroidaceae
Description: partial 16S ribosomal RNA
Rfam family: Bacterial small subunit ribosomal RNA
Source: RNAcentral